UACGGGGGGUGCGAGCGUUUGUCCGGAAUCACUGGGCGUAAAGGGCGCGUAGGUGGUCUGAUAAGGGUGUGGUGAAAGCCCGGGGCUCAACCCCGGGUCGGCCGUGCCGACUGUCAGACUAGAGUGCUGUAGGGGCAGGCGGAAUUCCGGGUGUAGCGGUGGAAUGCGUAGAGAUCCGGAGGAAGACCGGUGGCGAAGGCGGCCUGCUGGGCAGAUACUGACACUGAGGCGCGACAGCGUGGGGAGCAAACAGG
Molecule: ribosomal RNA, 254 nt
Filed under: uncultured bacterium
Lineage: Bacteria
Description: partial 16S ribosomal RNA
Rfam family: Bacterial small subunit ribosomal RNA
Source: RNAcentral